GAGCAUCCUUCAUAGGACCCACUCCGCUCGAGAAGCAAACAAAUACUCCGCUGGGGAACAAACCAGGCAACUCUUCGGGGAUUAAUCAAUACUGUUCUACUGGGGAAAGCAAACCAGGCAACUCUCUAGUGAAACUACUCGCCGGGGAGUAACAAGACGACUUUACCGGGGAAUGAUAAAGCGACUUCACUGGGAAAGAC
This 200-nucleotide long non-coding RNA is filed under the name Lathyrus oleraceus (garden pea). Its description in RNAcentral is "Pisum sativum (pea) long non-coding RNA (PSAT_LNC030710)". The record is from RNAcentral. Lineage: Eukaryota; Viridiplantae; Streptophyta; Magnoliopsida; Fabales; Fabaceae.